UGGGUCAUCACCAGCCCUGCUGUUCUCCGCACCUGCUGAGCUGGGUCCCGGAGCCUAGGAGUGAAAUCUCAAGUCACUGGCACUAAUGGAAUGUGUCUGGGGAAAGGCAAGUUCUGUAAAACCAUUCCUACAGCGGUCAAAUGUGUCUAUAAAGAGGAAGCACACCUUAAUUAAACAGGAAAAGAACUAGGACUCUAGUUUUACUUCUAAGUUGCCAAAUGUGAACUGGCAAAUUCAAAGUGGAACAAGCAGCAUUAUUUUCAAGUUGCUAAAGCAUAUUCCUACAUCUCUGAACUCAUCCUCACAGAAGCACGUCAUUUGCUGCAUACAAUCAAUAAACGGAUCAUGGGGACAAUGGUUCAAGGUCACAGAGGUCAGACCUAAUUCCACUGCUGCAAGAUACUCUGUGUCUUAUUUGUCUGCAAGACACCACUGCCUCUAGUGGAAAGAACACAAGGUCCCCAUAAGGUGGCAGGCCCAGCAACCACGGCUGAUGGGAAAGGGGUCUUCUGCUCCUGCUCUUCCCGAAGAACCCGGCGCCGACAGAGCUCCCCGCUCACUGCCUGUUCCAAG
Molecule: long non-coding RNA, 573 nt
Organism: Lynx canadensis (Canada lynx)
Lineage: Eukaryota; Metazoa; Chordata; Mammalia; Carnivora; Felidae
Exons: 3
Source: RefSeq, a predicted model, not a curated record